GUUUGGUCCUAGCCUUACCAUCAAUUACCCGCUUAACUUACACAUGCAAGCCUCCACACCCCGGUGAGAACGCCCCUUAAUUCCUACUGGACCAGGGAGCCGGUAUCAGGCACAAUAACCAUGCCCAAAACACCUAGCCUCGCCACACCCACAAAGGGCCUUCAGCAGUGAUUAACAUUAUUUAUUAGCGCCAGCUAGACUUAGCUAAAGCACCCAGGGCCGGCAAAUCUGGUGCCAGCCGCCGCGGCUACACCACGAGGCCCAACUUGAUGGUCACCGGCGUAAAGCGUGAUUAAAGCACCAAACUAUUAAAGCCAAAUUAUAACUAAGCUGUGACAAGCUUGUUACUCAGAACCACUUAGACGAAAGUUACUUUAAUUCCACCCACUUGAACUCACGACAGCUGAGACACAAACUGAGAUUAGAUACCUCACUAUGCUUAGCCGUAAACUCUUAAACUACAACACUAUC
Molecule: ribosomal RNA, 471 nt
Filed under: Taudactylus acutirostris (sharp-snouted torrent frog)
Lineage: Eukaryota; Metazoa; Chordata; Amphibia; Anura; Myobatrachidae
Description: partial 12S ribosomal RNA
Source: RNAcentral